RNAcentral lists this small RNA (955 nucleotides) under Arabidopsis thaliana (thale cress). Its description in RNAcentral is "ATSL225120". Lineage: Eukaryota; Viridiplantae; Streptophyta; Magnoliopsida; Brassicales; Brassicaceae. The record is from RNAcentral.
UUUUUAAACAUAAAACGACGUCGUUUCUAAAAAUUAAUAAAAAAAUAGAAACGUUGACUCUAACUCUGUUAAAUUGGUCUGUUAGUUGACUUAACGACAUGUCUUAUUUGGCAAAGUUAACGAAAGUUAAUGAUUUAAAAGAAAAUUCAACUAAAGUUGAGAAUUUAAUUCACCAGACCCAAAGUUGGUGUUUUAUUUCACCACUUUUGGCAAACUGAUGAUUUUUAUGACAUUUUUCCCUUUUCUAAUCCGAGUUUUCGAGUUUGAUUUUGAAUUUGCAUACAAUUUUUUUUAGGUCGUCAGAGAUUAUAGAAGAAUCUGGGUUUUCUGGAAUUAUGAGAAUGCUCAGCUACCUAGGGGAUUCAAUCGAACGUAUGUUGUUCGGAUGUUCCGUAAUUUUAUGAGGAGUAGAGGUUAUUUUGGACAAAUAAGCAUACUAAUGGUUGUUUCAGAGGUUAUUCCUUCUAAGAUCUCUUAUCAAACGUAUGAAGCCCUAUACGCACAAUCUUUGAUCGAUAACCACUUAAUUGUUGAGAAUCUGGAUGACCGUAAGUCUCUCUCUCUUCUUUAUGUUAAAAUUGUUUCAUAUUCUUUUGUAAAUUGUUUGAAUUUUUUCAGCUAAAGAGCAAGCUUCCGAUGAAUUUCUUUACGACGAGAUGAGACAUUUGGAAAUGGAUAAUGACGCUAGUUCGAAUGUUCUAGAAUUUACUAAGAAGUAGAGGUUAUUUCAGAGAAAUAACCAUAAUAAUGGUUGUGUCUGAGGUGAUUCUUACUAAGAUCUCGUAUGAAACGUAUGAAGCCCUCUAUGAAGAAUCUUUGAUAGAUAACCAUCUAAUAGUUAAGGAUCUGGAUGAACGUAAGUCUCUCUUUCUUCUUUAUGUUAAAUUGUUUGAGAUUCUUUUGUAAAUUGUUUGAGAUUCUUUAAUAUUUUUGAGCUGAUGAAGAGCAAACUUAU